Molecule: transfer RNA, 81 nt
Filed under: Gemmatimonadales bacterium
Lineage: Bacteria; Pseudomonadati; Gemmatimonadota; Gemmatimonadia; Gemmatimonadales
Also listed under: 2 other names
Description: tRNA-Leu
Rfam family: tRNA
About the family: Transfer RNA (tRNA) molecules are approximately 80 nucleotides in length. Their secondary structure includes four short double-helical elements and three loops (D, anti-codon, and T loops). Further hydrogen bonds mediate the characteristic L-shaped molecular structure. tRNAs have two regions of fundamental functional importance: the anti-codon, which is responsible for specific mRNA codon recognition, and the 3' end, to which the tRNAs corresponding amino acid is attached (by aminoacyl-tRNA synthetases). tRNAs cope with the degeneracy of the genetic code in two manners: having more than one tRNA (with a specific anti-codon) for a particular amino acid; and 'wobble' base-pairing, i.e. permitting non-standard base-pairing at the 3rd anti-codon position.
Source: RNAcentral
GCGACCGUGGCGGAAUGGCAGACGCGCCUGGCUUAGGACCAGGUGGGGAAACCCGUGGGGGUUCGAGUCCCUCCGGUCGCA